RNAcentral lists this ribosomal RNA (755 nucleotides) under uncultured bacterium. RNAcentral describes it as "bacterial SSU rRNA". It matches the Rfam family "Bacterial small subunit ribosomal RNA", at positions 8 to 795 of the family's 1533-position model. The record is from RNAcentral.
AGAGUUUGAUCCUGGCUCAGAAUCAACGCUGGCGGCGCGCUUAACACAUGCAAGUCGAGCGAGAAAGUGGAGCAAUCCAUGAGUAAAGCGGCGCACGGGUGAGUAACACGUGGAUGAUCUACCUUCUGGUGGGGAAUAACCUGGGGAAACCUGGGCUAAUACCGCAUAAGUCCGAGAGGAGAAAGCCGAAAGGCGUCAGAAGAGGAGUCCGCGGCCGAUUAGCUAGUUGGUGAGGUAAGAGCUCACCAAGGCGACGAUCGGUAGCCGGCCUGAGAGGGCACACGGCCACACUGGCACUGAAACACGGGCCAGACUCCUACGGGAGGCAGCAGUGGGGAAUCUUGCACAAUGGGGGAAACCCUGAUGCAGCGACGCCGCGUGAACGAUGAAGCCCUUCGGGGUGUAAAGUUCUUUCGGCAGGGACGAUUAUGACUGUACCUGCAGAAGCAGCUGCGGCUAACUACGUGCCAGCAGCCGCGGUAAUACGUAGGCAGCAAGCGUUGUUCGGAAUUACUGGGCGUAAAGAGUGCGUAGGUGGUUGACUAAGUUUGGUGUGAAAUCUCCCGGCUUAACUGGGAGGGUGCGCCGAANACUGGUUGGCUAGAGUGUGGGAGAGGGAAGCGGAAUUCCAGGUGUAGCGGUGAAAUGCGUAGAUAUCUGGAGGAACGCCUGCGGUGUAGNCGGCUUCCUGGACCAUGACUGACACUGAGGCACGAAAGCGUGGGUAGCAAACAGGAUUAGAUACCCUGGUAGUC